Molecule: ribosomal RNA, 942 nt
Filed under: Salmonella enterica
Lineage: Bacteria; Pseudomonadati; Pseudomonadota; Gammaproteobacteria; Enterobacterales; Enterobacteriaceae
Also listed under: 5 other names
Description: partial 23S ribosomal RNA
Rfam family: Bacterial large subunit ribosomal RNA
Source: RNAcentral
GGGUUGUGAGGUUAAGCGACUAAGCGUACACGGUGGAUGCCCUGGCAGUCAGAGGCGAUGAAGGACGUGCUAAUCUGCGAUAAGCGCCGGUAAGGUGAUAUGAACCGUUAUAACCGGCGAUUUCCGAAUGGGGAAACCCAGUGUGAUUCGUCACACUAUCAUUAACUGAAUCCAUAGGUUAAUGAGGCGAACCGGGGGAACUGAAACAUCUAAGUACCCCGAGGAAAAGAAAUCAACCGAGAUUCCCCCAGUAGCGGCGAGCGAACGGGGAGGAGCCCAGAGCCUGAAUCAGCAUGUGUGUUAGUGGAAGCGUCUGGAAAGGCGCGCGAUACAGGGUGACAGCCCCGUACACAAAAGCGCAUGUGCUGUGAGCUCGAUGAGUAGGGCGGGACACGUGGUAUCCUGUCUGAAUAUGGGGGGACCAUCCUCCAAGGCUAAAUACUCCUGACUGACCGAUAGUGAACCAGUACCGUGAGGGAAAGGCGAAAAGAACCCCGGCGAGGGGAGUGAAAAAGAACCUGAAACCGUGUACGUACAAGCAGUGGGAGCACAGGUUUACCUGUGUGACUGCGUACCUUUUGUAUAAUGGGUCAGCGACUUAUAUUCUGUAGCAAGGUUAACCGUAUAGGGGAGCCGGAGGGAAACCGAGUCUUAACCGGGCGUUAAGUUGCAGGGUAUAGACCCGAAACCCGGUGAUCUAGCCAUGGGCAGGUUGAAGGUUGGGUAACACUAACUGGAGGACCGAACCGACUAAUGUUGAAAAAUUAGCGGAUGACCUGUGGCUGGGGGUGAAAGGCCAAUCAAACCGGGAGAUAGCUGGUUCUCCCCGAAAGCUAUUUAGGUAGCGCCUCGUGAAUUCAUCUCCGGGGGUAGAGCACUGUUUCGGCUAGGGGGCCAUCCCGGCUUACCAACCCGAUGCAAACUGCGAAUACCGGAGAAUGU